RNAcentral lists this unclassified non-coding RNA (434 nucleotides) under uncultured Russula. RNAcentral's name for it is "sequence contains ITS2". The stretch from base 1 to 154 matches the Rfam family "5.8S ribosomal RNA". The record is from RNAcentral. Lineage: Eukaryota; Fungi; Basidiomycota; Agaricomycetes; Russulales; Russulaceae.
AACUUUCAACAACGGAUCACUUGGCUCUCGCAUCGAUGAAGAACGCAGCGAAAUGCGAUACGUAACGUGAAUUGCAGAAUUCAGUGAAUCAUCGAAUCUUUGAACGCACCUUGCGCCCCUUGGAAUUCCGAGGGGCACACCCGUUUGAGUGUCGUGAACAUCCUUCAACCUUUCUUGGUUUCUUGACCGUGGAAGGCUUGGACUUUGGGGGUCUUUCAUUGCUGGCCUCUUUGAAGCCAGCUCCUCCUAAAUGGAUUAGUGUGGUCUGCUUUGCCGAUCCUUGACGUGAUAAGAUGUUUCUACGUCUUGGGUUUCGCACUGUCGCUUUAGACCCCGCUUCUAACCGUCUUGCAUUCAAGACAGAGUUUUUAAACCUUGACCUCAAAUCGGGUGAGACUACCCGCUGAACUUAAGCAUAUCAAUAAGCGGAGGCU